CAGGCCUAACACAUGCAAGUCGAACGGUAACAGGUCUUCCGAUGCUGACAAGUGGGGGACGGGUGAGUAAUGCGUAUGAAUCUGUCUUUUACUGGGGGACAACCCCCGGAAACUUGGGCUAAUACCGCAUGAGCCCUGAGGGGGAAAGCGGGGGAUCUUCGGACCUCGCGCUAAGGGAAGAGCCUACGUCUGAUUAGCUAGUUGGUAGGGUAAAGGCCUACCAAGGCGACGAUCAGUAGCUGGUCUGAGAGGACGACCAGCCACACUGGGACUGAACACGGCCCAGACUCCUACGGGAGGCAGCAGUGGGGAAUUUUUCGCAAUGGGGGCAACCCUGACGAAGCAAUGCCGCGUGGAUGAAGAAGGCCUUCGGGUUGUAAAGUCCUUUCUUGGGGGACGAAAAGGCGGGUCCUAAUACGAUCUGCUGUUGACGUGAACCCAAGAAGAAGCACCGGCUAACUCCGUGCCACCAGCCGCGGUAAUACAGGGGGUGCAAGCGUUAAUCGGAAUCACUGGGCGUAAAGGGUGCGUAGGCGGUACGUUAGGUCUGUCGUGAAAUCCCCGGGCUCAACCUGGGAAUGGCGGUAGAAACCGGCGCACUAUAGUAUGGGAGAGGGUGGUGGAAUUCCCCGUGUAUCGGUGAAAUGCGUAAGAUCUGGAGGAACAUCCUGUCGAAGCGGCCAUCUGUGCCAAUACUGAGACUGAGACACGAAAGCGUGUGGAGCACACAGGAUUAUAUACCCUCGGAGUCCACGCCCUAUACGAUGAAUACAAUAUGUUUGGUACCUAUCGUACUGAGUGUCGUAGCUAAUGCGAUAAGUAAUUCCGCUGCGGAGUACGGCCGCCAGGUUAAUACUCAUAGGAAUUGACGGCGGCCGCCACAGAGCUGAGCAUGUUGUUUAUUACUAUGAUGCGCGAAGAACAUUUCUUAGUGUUCGACAUGUUCGGGAGUUAUGUACAAAUACGGAAUGCUCUUCUGGGAAUCGGACACAUGUGCUGCAUGCCUGUCGUCACUCGGGAUAUGGAGAGUUGUGGCUAGUUCGCUAACGGACCAACCCUGGUCAUAUUUCCA
This 1072-nucleotide ribosomal RNA is filed under the name uncultured bacterium. RNAcentral describes it as "bacterial SSU rRNA". It matches the Rfam family "Bacterial small subunit ribosomal RNA", at positions 43 to 1120 of the family's 1533-position model. The record is from RNAcentral.